This 729-nucleotide ribosomal RNA is filed under the name uncultured bacterium. Its description in RNAcentral is "bacterial SSU rRNA". It matches the Rfam family "Bacterial small subunit ribosomal RNA", at positions 38 to 762 of the family's 1533-position model. The record is from RNAcentral.
GGCGGCAGGCCUAGCACAUGCAAGUCGAGCGGUAGAGAGAAGCUUGCUUCUCUUGAGAGCGGCGGACGGGUGAGUAAUGCCUAGGAAUCUGCCUGGUAGUGGGGGAUAACGUUCGGAAACGGACGCUAAUACCGCAUACGUCCUACGGGAGAAAGCAGGGGACCUUCGGGCCUUGCGCUAUCAGAUGAGCCUAGGUCGGAUUAGCUAGUUGGUGAGGUAAUGGCUCACCAAGGCGACGAUCCGUAACUGGUCUGAGAGGAUGAUCAGUCACACUGGAACUGAGACACGGUCCAGACUCCUACGGGAGGCAGCAGUGGGGAAUAUUGGACAAUGGGCGAAAGCCUGAUCCAGCCAUGCCGCGUGUGUGAAGAAGGUCUUCGGAUUGUAAAGCACUUUAAGUUGGGAGGAAGGGUUGUAGAUUAAUACUCUGCAAUUUUGACGUUACCGACAGAAUAAGCACCGGCUAACUCUGUGCCAGCAGCCGCGGUAAUACAGAGGGUGCAAGCGUUAAUCGGAAUUACUGGGCGUAAAGCGCGCGUAGGUGGUUUGUUAAGUUGGAUGUGAAAUCCCCGGGCUCAACCUGGGAACUGCAUUCAAAACUGACUGACUAGAGUAUGGUAGAGGGUGGUGGAAUUUCCUGUGUAGCGGUGAAAUGCGUAGAUAUAGGAGGGAACACCAGUGGCGAAGGCGACCACCUGGACUAAUACUGACACUGAGGUGCGAAAGCGU